RNAcentral lists this transfer RNA (73 nucleotides) under Stegodyphus mimosarum. It matches the Rfam family "tRNA". From Rfam's summary of the family: Transfer RNA (tRNA) molecules are approximately 80 nucleotides in length. Their secondary structure includes four short double-helical elements and three loops (D, anti-codon, and T loops). The record is from Rfam by way of RNAcentral. Lineage: Eukaryota; Metazoa; Arthropoda; Arachnida; Araneae; Eresidae.
GCUUUCGUGGUGUAGUGGUCUGCACACUCGGCGCGUAAUCGAGAGGUCCGUGGUUCGAUUCCCGGCGAAAGCG